GUAUCUUUAAAUCCGGCCGUCGACAGGAGGAGUGAAAAUAGUUGAAUUGAUAUUUAUUCGAUCAGUAUGUCCGGUAUUUCAGUCUAUAAGAGAGGAGUGUACGCUUCUUUACGGUUUCGUCACACCUCCUCGUCGGUGAUUAUCGUACUGUAACAGCGCCGCACACGGUGGGUUAUUCUGUACGUGUUGCUCAACCAGCAGUAACAUUAAGUGAUGAUGUCAUCAGCACGUUUCCUGUUUUUCCAGGUGCGCUGCUGGGAAAAGAGAACGCCGAACGCCUUCCUCAGUCACCGCCCUCCUUCUCGGCCUCACUAUCGUCCCUCGUUCCGUCUCUCUCCUCCUCCCUCCCUCCCUCCUUCACUCCUCUGUCCGUCUCCGCCCUCCCUCUCCCGUCCAUAAUGUCCUCCUCCUCCUCGUCUUCCUCGUUCCUCUUGUCCUCCUCAGCCACUCUUCCCCUCCCCUCCACACUCUCUCACUCCCUUCCUCCACUGCCCCCCACCGUCUCCUCCUCUCUUCCUUCCACUCCUCUUCUAUCACUCCAUUCUAAAUCAGCCAGCAGAGACAGCAGCACACAAACCAGGAGGAGUCCAGAGAGUGAGAGAGUCCAGAGAGCCACGCUCCCUACAGGCCGAGGGAGAACAGCCAGGAUGGACUACCCAAUCGCUCAGGUGAAGUGUCCCGAGAGCCGAGUCGUCCACACGACGGGGCAGAAGAUCAGACCUGCCGACUCGGACCUGGUGGAGAUUCUGAUCUAACACACAUCUACGGACAGAACGCAGAGCGACUGACAGAAAGAGAGACAGACAGGCAGAGACAGGCGUCUCUCGGUUUAGCCCCGUGCACGCUGUGUGUAUAAAGCUCCUCGUUUAUCACUUUCGGUAAAAGUUGUGUGUAAAUAUUUGCACAAGAGACGGAACUGAAAAUUUCCCAUCAGGUUUAUAAACGUUUCAGAAACGCUGCUUUCCUCCGUAGUCGUGUGCGUAUGUCGAUCAUCGGUAAAGUGUCAAGCGCGUUCCGCACGCAGCUCAUUUGCAUAUAGUGACGCCCACAAAACUCCAUAAAAGGUAAAGUGCACAGAGAGCUGGGAGCAGGAAGUGAGCGAUCAGGGUAAAGACUGAAGAACAGAAGUAAGAGGUUACUUUGACUCACUAUUACAGCUAAAUCUCCAUAAUCUCUCGUCACACACACUCAGGAGCUCCAUUAGGAUGCGAAGGUUUUUUCAGAAUAAUAAUAGUAUAACAUCCAGCCCAGUGAGUGGAUUCAGCACUGAGUUUCUGGACCGAAGGGUCUUUGGGUAAGGGUCUGCGAGCGUGUGGCGCGGCCGUGUCUGGGUCACGCUGACAGACUGAACGGAAGGGUUGCUAAUGACAGGGAAGAGAAGGGAAGUUGAGACGGAGAACAGGUUGAAGAGGUGAGCGAGUUUAACGCAGGAUAUGAAAGCGUGUGAACCUGAAGAGGGUAAAAGUUCAAGUGUGUGAGUCGCGGAGCUUCUCUCUGGUUCAUGAUGCGUCUGUUUCACACACUCCAGCUGUUCUGGAGCUCUUCUACACGUUUACCUGAAAAAGACUGUUGUGUUAUUUUAUUGAGAUGAAGUUCUGGUCCUGUUCUGUAAGACAUGAUGAAAGGUUUGAGGUGAUUAUCAUGAUAUGGAAAUGUAAUGUCUCAUGCUGAAGCUCUGAGAUGGUUCUGUGGUUCCUCCUCUGUUCUCCGGCUAACAAUAAAACAGUGCCUUAAUGCAACAGCACUUAGACACACACACACACACACACACACACACACACACUGUUUUCUUUAUUCAUCUUGCCUACACUCUCACACUCCUCACCUCCAUCUGUGUGUUACUGCCACCUUCUGGCCACAUUAUAACAACAACAACAACAACAACAAUAAUAAUAAUAAUAAUAAUAAGCUUCAUUAAUAAAAAUAAAUGAACAUAACAAAUGAACAUAUUUUGGGGAUUUAUAUAUUUUUAAUAUAAUAAGUGACAUUUAUUUAACUGUAUAUAUACA
Ictalurus punctatus (channel catfish) is the source of this 2009-nucleotide long non-coding RNA. Lineage: Eukaryota; Metazoa; Chordata; Actinopteri; Siluriformes; Ictaluridae. The record is from Ensembl.